CCUAGAUGUGGUGCUGGAGCCCCUGUCGGUCUCCGAAAGCUUACUGCUUUGCACACUUGAUAUUCAGUGUGGGGCAGUCCAAUAGGAUCAGGUCACCAAGAUCCUACGGGUGGGACAUAGUGGCAGGACUAUAGUCUCCGUAGAGCAGGGCAUGUCCAUAUGGCAAGUAAGAUGCGCGAGAUCCACGCUUUGGCUGCAUCACAAGCAUGAGUGCCAUGUCCUUCAGGGGAAUGUCUAACGUCAGGACAUUCACCGGGUCGGGGUUCCAAAGCGAGCGUGAUCUCACUCUGGAUAGAUGACAUAGCAAUGGGGAUCUUUGGAAUCUCAAGAUGGUGAAUU
Molecule: long non-coding RNA, 339 nt
Organism: Pecten maximus
Lineage: Eukaryota; Metazoa; Mollusca; Bivalvia; Pectinida; Pectinidae
Exons: 4
Source: RefSeq, a predicted model, not a curated record